UACGGGGGGGGUAAGCGUUGUUCGGAAUUACUGGGCGUAAAGGGCGCGUAGGCGGGGUGGCAAGUCAGUCGUGAAAUCUCUCGGCUCAACCGAGAAACGUCGGCUGAUACUGCCGUUCUUGAGGGAUGCAGAGGAGACUGGAAUUCCCGGUGUAGCGGUGAAAUGUGUAGAGAUCGGGAGGAACACCGGUGGCGAAGGCGGGUCUCUGGGCAUUUCCUGACGCUGAGGCGCGAAAGCGUGGGGAGCAAACGGG
RNAcentral lists this ribosomal RNA (253 nucleotides) under uncultured bacterium. RNAcentral's name for it is "partial 16S ribosomal RNA". It matches the Rfam family "Bacterial small subunit ribosomal RNA", at positions 524 to 776 of the family's 1533-position model. The record is from RNAcentral.